This 428-nucleotide ribosomal RNA is filed under the name uncultured bacterium. RNAcentral's name for it is "partial 16S ribosomal RNA". It matches the Rfam family "Bacterial small subunit ribosomal RNA", at positions 354 to 796 of the family's 1533-position model. The record is from RNAcentral.
GUGGGGAAUAUUGGGCAAUGGGCGAAAGCCUGACCCAGCAACGCCGCGUGAAGGAAGAAGGCCUUCGGGUUGUAAACUUCUUUUAUGAGGGACGAAGGAAGUGACUGUACCUCAUGAAUAAGCCACGGCUAACUACGUGCCAGCAGCCGCGGUAAUACGUAGGUGGCAAGCGUUGUCCGGAUUUACUGGGUGUAAAGGGCGCGUAGGCGGACUGGCAAGUCAGAUGUGAAAUCCAUGAGCUCAACUCAUGAACUGCAUUUGAAACUGUUGGUCUUGAGUAUCGGAGAGGCAAGCGGAAUUCCUAGUGUAGCGGUGAAAUGCGUAGAUAUUAGGAGGAACACCAGUGGCGAAGGCGGCUUGCUGGACGACAACUGACGCUGAGGCGCGAAAGCGUGGGGAGCAAACAGGAUUAGAAACCCGAGUAGUCC